Molecule: non-coding RNA, 1088 nt
Organism: Ciona intestinalis (vase tunicate)
Lineage: Eukaryota; Metazoa; Chordata; Ascidiacea; Phlebobranchia; Cionidae
Source: RefSeq, a predicted model, not a curated record
GCUGACAUCAUUGAAAUACCUUCAGAACCCCCGCUUUCAGAUGUGAAGCCUCUGCAACGUAUAAAUAGAUGGAGACACAAUAUCAUCAUCAGCCUUGUGUGUGUGGGUGUCAAUCAAAACCUCAACGGGACCAGUGGCGUUACUCCGACAAUCUCUAUCUACAGUCUCAGGAAGUCGGGAAAAAUGGUGGAUAAUCUUACCUUAAAGGCCUGAGAGCUCUCAAAAGACGGAAAACUCUUAAAAUUCCAAGAAGUUUUGAUCCAGAACUAUACGUGAGGGUCAUUAUGACAUCAAUGAGUGAACUCGCGACAAGAAAGAAGUCAAGUACGUUCCAACCACUAAAAUGGCGUUACCUCAUUUUGGGAACUACCACAACAACAUAGACAUCUUCUAAAACGUGAUGUAUUUUCGACUUCUACUUCUGCUGUUGGCUCAAAUAUACAAGGGUUGACUUCAUACUCAGCACAUGAACAAUUCAACUCAGAUGUUACAAAACUUUGGGGGCAGGGACUGGUUUUACCAAGGACCUCAACUGGGUUGGCAACUGAUGGUCUGCGAUCUGAACAUAAGCUGGGACUUCUUUGUCCAACACCAGACCCAGAUACCGAGUGUAGGGAGGUAGAAAGACCAGGCGUGGGAAUGGGAACUGUCAGCCUGGAUAAUAAAGGUCGCGCAACGAGCCAAAAGCCACUGGAAAAGCUUCCAGCUCAAUCGAAAAGUUGAUUGAUUACACCACAACACCCACUAUAACAUGGCACGAAAAUGACAUUUGGCUUCUUGAAGCUGAUUGGACUAUAGAAGAAGCUUCUGUAGUCUCAAACCAGAAGCCGCUCAAGGAGAAAAAGUUCCUUACCUGGUGUCUGGGGUGGUGGAAAGAAUUUAAAGAGCGCACGAUUGGGCUAAGACAAUCCUUUUGCGUAUUGGAUUUCUGGUCAACGUACGAAGGGACCGGGCUCGUGUAUAUACGUCAUAGUCGAGACGAUAGCGUACGUCAUAGUCGAGAUCGCGUACGUCAUUGGCGGAGCGAAAAGCAUUUGAUUUUAACAAAUACCUCGUGUCAUGGGGUGUCUUGGAGACACUAAUUACUU